This 591-nucleotide ribosomal RNA is filed under the name uncultured fungus. RNAcentral describes it as "eukaryotic LSU rRNA". It matches the Rfam family "Eukaryotic large subunit ribosomal RNA", at positions 37 to 654 of the family's 3401-position model. The record is from RNAcentral. Lineage: Eukaryota; Fungi.
AGCAUAUCAAUAAGCGGAGGAAAAGAAACCAACAGGGAUUGCCUCAGUAACGGCGAGUGAAGCGGCAACAGCUCAAAUUUGAAAUCUGGCCCCCGGCCCGAGUUGUAAUUUGCAGAGGAUGUUUCUGGCGAGGUGCCUUCCGAGUUCCCUGGAACGGGACGCCAUAGAGGGUGAGAGCCCCGUACGGUUGGUCGCUAAGCCUCUGUGAAACUCCUUCGACGAGUCGAGUAGUUUGGGAAUGCUGCUCUAAAUGGGAGGUAUACGUCUUCUAAAGCUAAAUAUAGGCCAGAGACCGAUAGCGCACAAGUAGAGUGAUCGAAAGAUGAAAAGCACUUUGAAAAGAGGGUUAAAUAGUACGUGAAAUUGUUGAAAGGGAAGCGCUCAUGACCAGACUUGGGCCGGUUGAUCAUCCAUCGUUCUCGGUGGUGCACUCUGCCGGCUCAGGCCAGCAUCAGUUUGACCCGGGGGACAAAGGCUUCGGGAAUGUGGCUCUCUCCGGAGAGUGUUAUAGCCCGUUGUGUAAUACCCUGGGUUGGACUGAGGUACGCGCUCCGCAAGGAUGCUGGCGUAAUGGUUAUCAGUGACCCGUCU